Molecule: ribosomal RNA, 250 nt
Filed under: uncultured prokaryote
Description: partial 16S ribosomal RNA
Rfam family: Bacterial small subunit ribosomal RNA
Source: RNAcentral
UACGGAGGGUGCAAGCGUUAAUCGGAAUUACUGGGCGUAAAGCGCACGCAGGCGGUCUGUUAAGUCAGAUGUGAAAUCCCCGGGCUUAACCUGGGAACUGCAUUUGAAACUGGCAGGCUUGAGUCUCGUAGAGGGGGGUAGAAUUCCAGGUGUAGCGGUGAAAUGCGUAGAGAUCUGGAGGAAUACCGGUGGCGAAGGCGGCCCCCUGGACGAAGACUGACGCUCAGGUGCGAAAGCGUGGGGAGCAAAC